RNAcentral lists this ribosomal RNA (804 nucleotides) under uncultured Aminobacterium sp. Its description in RNAcentral is "bacterial SSU rRNA". It matches the Rfam family "Bacterial small subunit ribosomal RNA", at positions 259 to 1070 of the family's 1533-position model. The record is from RNAcentral. Lineage: Bacteria; Thermotogati; Synergistota; Synergistia; Synergistales; Aminobacteriaceae.
AACGGCUCACCAAGGCGACGACGGGUAGCCGGCCUGAGAGGGUGACCGGCCACACUGGAACUGAGAUACGGUCCAGACUCCUACGGGAGGCAGCAGUGGGGAAUAUUGGGCAAUGGGGGGAACCCUGACCCGGCGACGCCGCGUGAGGGAAGACGGCCUUCGGGUUGUAAACCUCUUUUGUACGGGAAGAAGGACGUGACGGUACCGUACGAAUAAGUCCCGGCUAACUACGUGCCAGCAGCUGCGGUAAUACGUAGGGGACGAGCGUUGUCCGGAAUUACUGGGCGUAAAGGGCGCGCAGGCGGUAUAUCAAGUCAGCUGUCAAAGACUGGGGCUCAACCCUGGUAUGCGGUUGAAACUGAUAUGCUGGAGUGCUGUAGAGGCAAGUGGAAUUCCCAGUGUAGCGGUGAAAUGCGUAGAUAUUGGGAAGAACACCGGUGGCGAAGGCGACUUGCUGGGCAGCAACUGACGCUGAGGCGCGAAAGCCAGGGGAGCAAACGGGAUUAGAUGCCCCGGUAGUCCUGGCCGUAAACGAUGAAUGCUAGGUGUGUGUGUGUAGAGAUACAUGCGUGCCGGAGUUAACGCGAUAAGCAUUCCGCCUGGGGAGUACGGUCGCAAGAUUGAAACUCAAAGGAAUUGACGGGGGCCCGCACAAGCGGUGGAGCACGGGUUUUAAUUCGAUGCAACCGAAGAACCUUACCUGGGUUUGACAUGUACGUGGUACGGAUAUGAAGGUUGAGGACCUUUUCUUCGGAAGGGGAGCGUACACAGGUGCUGUAUGGCAGUCGUCAGCUCGUGUCGUGA